CAGUAGCCGCGGUAGUACGUAGGUGGCGAGCGUUGUCCGGAUUUAUUGGGCGUAAAGGGAGUGUAGGCGGUCUUUUGAGUCUGAUGUGAAAGCCCACGGCUCAACCGAUAGCUUGUUGUUCGAACUGCUUGACUCGAGAGUAUCAGAGGUCGCUGGAAUUCCUAGUGUAGCAGUGAAAUGCGUAGAUAUUAGGAAGAACACCGAUGGCGUAGGCAGGCGACUGGGAUAUUUCUGACGCUAAGGCACGAAAGCGUGGGUAGCGAACCGGAUUAGAUACCCGUUAGUCCCUGUCUCUUAUACA
RNAcentral lists this ribosomal RNA (301 nucleotides) under uncultured bacterium. RNAcentral describes it as "partial 16S ribosomal RNA". It matches the Rfam family "Bacterial small subunit ribosomal RNA", at positions 509 to 808 of the family's 1533-position model. The record is from RNAcentral.